This 484-nucleotide ribosomal RNA is filed under the name uncultured bacterium. RNAcentral describes it as "partial 16S ribosomal RNA". It matches the Rfam family "Bacterial small subunit ribosomal RNA", at positions 30 to 507 of the family's 1533-position model. The record is from RNAcentral.
AUUGAACGCUGGCGGCAGGCCUAACACAUGCAAGUCGAGCGGAUGAAGGGAGCUUGCUCCUGGAUUCAGCGGCGGACGGGUGAGUAAUGCCUAGGAAUCUGCCUGGUAGUGGGGGAUAACGUCCGGAAACGGGCGCUAAUACCGCAUACGUCCUGAGGGAGAAAGUGGGGGAUCUUCGGACCUCACGCUAUCAGAUGAGCCUAGGUCGGAUUAGCUAGUUGGUGUGGUAAAGGCCUACCAAGGCGACGAUCCGUAACUGGUCUGAGAGGAUGAUCAGUCACACUGGAACUGAGGCACGGUCCAGACUCCUACGGGAGGCAGCAGUGGGGAAUAUUGGACAAUGGGCGAAAGCCUGAUCCAGCCAUGCCGCGUGUGUGAAGAAGGUCUUCGGAUUGUAAAGCACUUUAAGUUGGGAGGAAGGGCAGUAAGUUAAUACCUUGCUGUUUUGACGUUACCAACAGAAUAAGCACCGGCUAACUUCGUG